GAUGAACGCUAGCGGCAGGCUUAACACAUGCAAGUCGAGGGGCAGCAUGAGACGGAGAUUCGUCGAAGUCUUGAUGGCGACCGGCGCAAGGGUGCGUAACGCGUGAGCAACUUGCCCGUUUCUGGGGAAUAACCGGUGGAAACGCCGACUAAUACCCCAUAGCAUAACAGAGAGGCAUCUUUUGUAUUAAAGAAUUUCGGAAACGGAUAGGCUCGCGUGACAUUAGCUAGAUGGCGGGGUAACGGCCCACCAUGGCGACGAUGUCUAGGGGUUCUGAGAGGAAGGUCCCCCACACUGGAACUGAGACACGGUCCAGACUCCUACGGGAGGCAGCAGUGAGGAAUAUUGGUCAAUGGUCUGACGACUGAACCAGCCAUGCCGCGUGAAGGUCACGGCCCUAUGGGUCUUAAACUUCUUUUGUAAGGGAGCAAUAAGGUCUACGUGUAGACUGAUGAGAGUACCUUACGAAUAAGCAUCGGCUAACUCCGUGCCAGCAACCG
RNAcentral lists this ribosomal RNA (500 nucleotides) under uncultured bacterium. RNAcentral's name for it is "bacterial SSU rRNA". It matches the Rfam family "Bacterial small subunit ribosomal RNA", at positions 28 to 517 of the family's 1533-position model. The record is from RNAcentral.